UGAGAAGAAAAAUGAAAAAAGAAUCCUGGAGAUGACCAGCAUUUAGUGGGGUGAGGAAGAAGAGAAAAGCAGCAAGUAAAGAAUAAAAGGAAAUCCAUAAUUUUUGAAUGCUGGCCGAGGUCUGUGACCUCUGACUGAAUGGUUUCCAAGCUCCGAAUUCCUAGGUGAUGUUUUCAUUUGUUCACACUUGCUGAAGAAGGGAAAGGCUCUCUGAUUUACGUGUAAGCAAAACAAUCUAAACAGUAGGAUAAAAUCAUGUUGGAAUGGAGUUCUGUGUGGAUGCUCCUUUGA
This 291-nucleotide long non-coding RNA is filed under the name Homo sapiens (human). Its description in RNAcentral is "long intergenic non-protein coding RNA 1206". The record is from RNAcentral. Lineage: Eukaryota; Metazoa; Chordata; Mammalia; Primates; Hominidae.